Molecule: non-coding RNA, 812 nt
Organism: Pantherophis guttatus
Lineage: Eukaryota; Metazoa; Chordata; Lepidosauria; Squamata; Colubridae
Source: RefSeq, a predicted model, not a curated record
GGGCCGUCCAGGCAGCGGCUCCGCCCUCCCCAGGAGAGAGAGAGAGGGGGGAAGACCAGGUCCCUUCUCGCGCCGACGCGCCUUCGCCUGUCCCUCAGCCGCCCGAGUCAGUCAACCCGACCGCCAGCCGAAUGGCUGUGGACGGCCAGACAGAUAGCCGUCUCUCUCUCACUCACGACGCACCUCGCUGAGGAGAUGGGGAAGAUAACAAUGGCUCGUCGGCCCAGACGUCUUUGACCAAAAGGCGGGGCUGCCGUGGUGUAAUAAUAGUAAGAGCGGAAUGGACGAAGGAAGCGAGGCAUCCAAUGGAGCCGAAUCUCGAGCGCUGCGUCAGAUGGAAAAAAAAAAGCAGCUCGGCUUAAAAGCGUUCGCAGGAGAACCCGAACCCCGGUUUACUCAAUUAAUCCAGUUUCCUAUGGCAGUCUCCGCAUGCCUUAUGCUAAUCCCUUGAGGUGCUGGGUCCACUCGACGCAAGUGGUGAAAAGGAAGAGAAAGCAGCCAAAAGGGAAAGAAAGUCUGAAAAAAAGUCCUCUUUUCACCUCCGUCUGUGUACCAGAGCCAGCUGGCUGCAAACUCUCCAUUCAGGGAAUUUCAAAACAUUUUCCCUCCUCUCUUGGGGCUCCUGCACAGACAGCAGCCCGGGAGGUGGUAGUUACUAACAAUAGACCACUCAUGUUGCAGAAAAACACGCAGAUGCAGCCCCCCACAUGCUGAAGGCCUUUUAUGGAAAAAAAAUGUUCCUGGUCAUGCAUAUUAAUAAUGGCGGCCUCCUAGAAAGAUUUCCUAAAAUAAAGACAUUUGACUACAUUAAA